This 456-nucleotide ribosomal RNA is filed under the name Polynucleobacter sp. Fw70-17. Its description in RNAcentral is "bacterial SSU rRNA". It matches the Rfam family "Bacterial small subunit ribosomal RNA", at positions 30 to 478 of the family's 1533-position model. The record is from RNAcentral. RNAcentral also lists the same sequence under 3 other names. Lineage: Bacteria; Pseudomonadati; Pseudomonadota; Betaproteobacteria; Burkholderiales; Burkholderiaceae.
AUUGAACGCUGGCGGCAUGCCUUACACAUGCAAGUCGAACGGCAGCACGGGUGCUUGCACCUGGUGGCGAGUGGCGAACGGGUGAGUAAUACAUCGGAACGUACCUUAUCGUGGGGGAUAACGCAGCGAAAGCUGUGCUAAUACCGCAUACGCCCUGAGGGGGAAAGCGGGGGAUCGAAAGACCUCGCGCGAUUAGAGCGGCCGAUGCCUGAUUAGCUUGUUGGUGGGGUAAAAGCCCACCAAGGCGACGAUCAGUAGCUGGUCUGAGAGGACGAUCAGCCACACUGGGACUGAGACACGGCCCAGACUCCUACGGGAGGCAGCAGUGGGGAAUUUUGGACAAUGGGGGAAACCCUGAUCCAGCAAUGCCGCGUGAGUGAAGAAGGCCUUCGGGUUGUAAAGCUCUUUUGUCAGGGAAGAAACACCGGCUCUAACACAGUCCGGGAAUGACGGUAC